UUUAAUUUGUUUUAACUCAUUUCAUUUCGCAUAGAUAGAAAAAAGGAAGCUCUCUGGAGCUUCAACCGAAAUAGAGCUCACCGUGCUGACUGCCGCCGCCGUUCGUCGCCGCCGAAGAAGAGAGAGAAAAGCACGAUCCGACGUGUUUCUUCACACUGAUGAUGGAUCUGAAAUUCUUUUAAUCAAAAGGGGUCCCUAGAAUCGCAUAUCUAGGGAAAACUACUCGGAUUCUUUUGACUCCGAUGAACCUCAAACUGGUCGACGAUCAUCGACUUCAAAUGCUCCUUGGUUGUUUCUGUUGUGUUGUGUGGCAUUGGUGAUGGUCCUUAUGAGAUCCUUGCGGCGAACGAUUCGAAGUGGUUGGUGUGUGGCCGUGAAAAUCGGAGGCUGGCCAAGAUGCUUGCGGUACUGUGGAUGGGGAGAAGAGAUUAGGGUUAGUAAACCCUAAUCUGCCUAUUCGUUUCAGCAUAUCAUGAACCCGGUUGUGGCUCGGGUCGCUGAUCACAACUUGGGUUACUUCAAGUGGGUAUUAGACUGUUAUGCUCCUGCGUGUUUUGGUCUGGUGCAGCUGUUGGACCAUUGUGGUAUUUGGGCUUGGUGUAUUUUUAUUUGUCUUUAGCUUGUACAUGUAAUACAAAAUUAAUAAGUAAAUAUAUAUUAUAUAA
Long non-coding RNA from Hibiscus syriacus, 665 nucleotides. RefSeq lists it as uncharacterized. Lineage: Eukaryota; Viridiplantae; Streptophyta; Magnoliopsida; Malvales; Malvaceae. The record is from RefSeq and is a predicted model, not a curated record. The transcript has 2 exons.